AACGAACGCUGGCGGCAUGCCUAACACAUGCAAGUCGAACGAGGCCUUCGGGUCUAGUGGCGCACGGGUGCGUAACGCGUGGGAACCUGCCCUUAGGUUCGGAAUAACUCCCCGAAAGGGGUGCUAAUACCGGAUAAUGUCUUCGGACCAAAGAUUUAUCGCCUUUGGAUGGGCCCGCGUUGGAUUAGCUAGUUGGUAGGGUAAAAGCCUACCAAGGCGACGAUCCAUAGCUGGUCUGAGAGGAUGAUCAGCCACACUGGGACUGAGACACGGCCCAGACUCCUACGGGAGGCAGCAGUGGGGAAUAUUGGACGAUGAGCGAAGGCCUGAUACAGCAAUGCCGCGUGAGUGAUGAAGGCCUUAGGGUUGUAAAGCUCUUUUACACGGGAUGAUAAUGACAGUACCGGGAGAAUAAGCUCCGGCUAACUCCGUG
This 433-nucleotide ribosomal RNA is filed under the name uncultured bacterium. RNAcentral's name for it is "partial 16S ribosomal RNA". It matches the Rfam family "Bacterial small subunit ribosomal RNA", at positions 29 to 507 of the family's 1533-position model. The record is from RNAcentral.